CCCUACGGGACGCAGCAGUAGGGAAUAUUGCUCAAUGGGGGAAACCCUGAAGCAGCAACGCCGCGUGGAGGAUGAAGGCUUUCGGAUUGUAAACUGCUUUUGUAAGAGAAGAUUAUGACGGUAUCUUACGAAUAAGCACCGGCUAACUCCGUGCCAGCAGCCGCGGUAAUACGGAGGGUGCAAGCGUUACUCGGAAUCACUGGGCGUAAAGAGCGCGUAGGCGGGGGGUUAAG
RNAcentral lists this ribosomal RNA (233 nucleotides) under uncultured bacterium. Its description in RNAcentral is "partial 16S ribosomal RNA". It matches the Rfam family "Bacterial small subunit ribosomal RNA", at positions 337 to 587 of the family's 1533-position model. The record is from RNAcentral.